This 271-nucleotide ribosomal RNA is filed under the name uncultured bacterium. RNAcentral describes it as "partial 16S ribosomal RNA". It matches the Rfam family "Bacterial small subunit ribosomal RNA", at positions 524 to 794 of the family's 1533-position model. The record is from RNAcentral.
GACGGAGGGCGCAAACGUUGUUCGGAAUCACUGGGCGUAAAGGGCGCGUAGGCGGGAGAGUAAGUCAGACGUGAAAUCCCGGGGCUCAACUCCGGGACUGCGCUUGAAACUGCUAUCCUAGAGUGCAGGAGAGGGAGGCGGAAUUCCAGGUGUAGCGGUGGAAUGCGUAGAUAUCUGGAAGAACACCAGUGGCGAAGGCGGCCUCCUGGACUGACACUGACGCUGAGGCGCGAAAGCGUGGGGAUCAAACAGGAUUAGAAACCCGGGUAGU